Molecule: ribosomal RNA, 497 nt
Filed under: uncultured bacterium
Lineage: Bacteria
Description: partial 16S ribosomal RNA
Rfam family: Bacterial small subunit ribosomal RNA
Source: RNAcentral
GAUGAACGCUGGCGGCGUGCCUAAUACAUGCAAGUCGAGCGAACAGACGAGGAGCUUGCUCCUCUGAUGUUAGCGGCGGACGGGUGAGUAACACGUGGAUAACCUACCUAUAAGACUGGGAUAACUUCGGGAAACCGGAGCUAAUACCGGAUAACAUGUUGAACCGCAUGGUUCAACAGUGAAAGACGGUCUUGCUGUCACUUAUAGAAGGAUCCGCGCCGCAUUAGCUAGUUGGUAAGGUAACGGCUUACCAAGGCAACGAUGCGUAGCCGACCUGAGAGGGUGAUCGGCCACACUGGAACUGAGACACGGUCCAGACUCCUACGGGAGGCAGCAGUAGGGAAUCUUCCGCAAUGGGCGAAAGCCUGACGGAGCAACGCCGCGUGAGUGAAGAAGGUCUUCGGAUCGUAAAACUCUGUUAUUAGGGAAGAACAAAUGUGUAAGUAACUAUGCACGUCUUGACGGUACCUAAUCAGAAAGCCACGGCUAACUACGUG